RNAcentral lists this ribosomal RNA (199 nucleotides) under uncultured bacterium. Its description in RNAcentral is "partial 16S ribosomal RNA". It matches the Rfam family "Bacterial small subunit ribosomal RNA", at positions 328 to 539 of the family's 1533-position model. The record is from RNAcentral.
ACGCUCGACACCUACUGGAGGCAGCAGUCGGGAAUAUUGCGCAAUGGAGGAAACUCUGACGCAGUGACGCCGCGUAUGGGAAGAAGGUUUUCGGAUUGUAAACCAUUUUAGACGAGGAAGAAACAAGACAGUACUUGUAGAAUAAGCUCCGGCUAACUACGUGCCUGCAGCCGCGGUAAUCUGAGCGGGCUGGCAAGGC